GGCACCUUCUGAGAGGCUGAUAGUGCUUUGACAUGGCUGUAGCCUUGCUUAGAAUCAAUUUUCCAUCUAAAAUCUCUCUGUUCUCACUCUUACAACAAUGAAAAGCCAUUGAGCAGUAUCAGCUGGGCAUAGAUAACAUCGAGUUUGCAUUUUCAAAGAUCCUCCUGGUCAAAAUGUGGAGUUAGGAGUGUGGAUGAUGUCCAAGACAUUUGCAGUUUUCCAAGUGUAACAAGAUGCAAGCUUGCCAGAGAAAAGCCAAAAUUCCUGAAAAUUUUGGAAUGUUUUUGAGCACACGGGACUUCACCUUAUACAUGGAGAUGAUGGAAAGUGAAAAAUUGAAGAUGACACCUGGAAUAGGGUCUCAGGCAAUCAGGCAUCCAGAGAAAAUAAGAGAUGUCUGAUGAUUAGGCGAGAACUUGAGGCUGAGGACAUAUCAUCAUACUACACAGUUGACCCUUGAACAAUAAGAAUUGGAACUGUGUGAGUCCACUUAUACGUGGAUUUUCUUCUGCCUCUGCGACUCCUGAGACAGCAAAACCAACCCUUCCUCUUCCUCUUCAGCCUACUCAACAUGAAGACAAGGAGGAUGAAGAGUUUUGUGAUAAUCCACUUCCACUUAAUGAAUAGAAUUUUACACUUUCCAAGGAGAAUGCUCCAGGCCCCGAAGCUCACAUUGUAAGAAAGUGCUUGGAAAUGAUCUCUCGAGUACCCAGACUCCAAAACUUCUUCAGAAAUAUAAUGGAGACACUUUCAGUUGGCUUUCUUCAUCAUUUGUUUCCCUUUGUCACUGUGAUGCUAAUAACCAACAAAAAGGUGUUGUACAUAGAUGGAGUGGCAAGUGCAUAAUUCAGACGGGAUAAUCAGAUGGUGAAUUAUCAAAAGUAAUAAUACAUGUAUUAAAAGCAAUAA
Long non-coding RNA from Homo sapiens (human), 909 nucleotides. Ensembl annotates it as long intergenic non-protein coding RNA 3114. The record is from Ensembl. NCBI's taxonomy places the organism in Eukaryota, Metazoa, Chordata, Mammalia, Primates, Hominidae.